AUUCCAUGAUGGGGAUAUUGCUUAAAUAAAUCUUUAAAACUUUCCCAAGCAUCAAAUAAAGCUUCACCUGCCCCUUGCCUAAAAGAAAUAAUUUAUUCCUCAUUUU
Small nucleolar RNA from Lathyrus oleraceus (garden pea), 106 nucleotides. NCBI's taxonomy places the organism in Eukaryota, Viridiplantae, Streptophyta, Magnoliopsida, Fabales, Fabaceae. The record is from RefSeq and is a predicted model, not a curated record.